Dreissena polymorpha is the source of this 380-nucleotide long non-coding RNA. RefSeq lists it as uncharacterized. NCBI's taxonomy places the organism in Eukaryota, Metazoa, Mollusca, Bivalvia, Myida, Dreissenidae. The record is from RefSeq and is a predicted model, not a curated record. The transcript has 2 exons.
GUCCAAUCUUCAUGAAAUUUGGUCAGAAGAUUGGUUUCAAUGAUAUCUUGGAUGAGUUUGAAAAUGGUUACGUUUGCUUGAAAAACAUGGCUGCCAAGGGGCGGGGCAUUUUUAACCAGGUUUUCCGAAGGAAAAAACUGGUUAUUAGAUUGGCGAAUGCGGGCGGGCUGGCUGGCUGGCGGGCUGGCUGGCUGGCGGGCUGGCUGGCGGGCUGGCGGGCUGGCGGAAUAAGCUUGUCCGGGCCAUAACUAUGUCGUUCAUUGUCAGAUUUUAAAAUCAUUUGGCACAUUUGUUCACCAUCAUUGGACGGUGUGUCGCGCGAAAUAAUUACGUCGAUAUCUCCAAGGUCAAGGUCACACUUUGAGUUCAAAGGUCAAAAA